CCAUUUGACACACGCAUGCGCAUUUCAAGUGUGGACGCUAUAUUCAAAUAUGUUGUUUUUACCAUCGACUAACAUACGGCGCAUGACGUCACUACGAAUUUCUUUCUAGCAAAGUGGUACACUCGAGCCAAAGGUGAAACGAGAGAUAGGUCUUGUCGACUCUUAAUUAAUCAAGUACCCGUAUACGUCAGACAGGCUACUGGUUUUCUUGUAUUAAAGCCGCCAGAUUGACGAGAUCAGCUGCAUGAACGUGUCAAGCAAUGGACGGUGAUGUGAUCAAUGCUGAAGGUCAACGUCAUCCAGAAGAAACUAAUGUUGAUGAGCAUGGUUUUCUGUCGCGAGACCAGCUAGAUGAUUUGCGAAAAGAUGCUCAAGACUAUGUAAGAGAGACUGCUCGCUUUCUAGUACAGCGGUCUUUGCAAGAACUCAAGAAACACAUGAUAAGAAGUACAAACGCUAUUAGAAAGCUGUGCUACACAGCUAAUGAAAAGGCAACGUCAGAAGAUGCCAA
Corticium candelabrum is the source of this 511-nucleotide long non-coding RNA. RefSeq lists it as uncharacterized. NCBI's taxonomy places the organism in Eukaryota, Metazoa, Porifera, Homoscleromorpha, Homosclerophorida, Plakinidae. The record is from RefSeq and is a predicted model, not a curated record. The transcript has 3 exons.